GUGGGUAAUCUGCCCUGCACUCUGGGAUAAGCCUUGGAAACGAGGUCUAAUACCGGAUAUCACAACUCCUCGCAUGGGGGGUUGUUGAAAGUUCUGGCGGUGCAGGAUGAACCCGCGGCCUAUCAGCUUGUUGGUGGGGUAGUGGCCUACCAAGGCGACGACGGGUAGCCGGCCUGAGAGGGUGACCGGCCACACUGGGACUGAGACACGGCCCAGACUCCUACGGGAGGCAGCAGUGGGGAAUAUUGCACAAUGGGCGCAAGCCUGAUGCAGCGACGCCGCGUGAGGGAUGACGGCCUUCGGGUUGUAAACCUCUUUCGCCAGGGACGAAGCGCAAGUGACGGUACCUGGAUAAGAAGCACCGGCUAACUACGUGCCAGCAGCCGCGGUAAUACGUAGGGUGCGAGCGUUGUCCGGAUUUAUUGGGCGUAAAGAGCUCGUAGGCGGUUUGUCGCGUCGGCCGUGAAAUCUCCACGCUUAACGUGGAGCGUGCGGUCGAUACGGGCAGACUUGAGUUCGGUAGGGGAGACUGGAAUUCCUGGUGUAGCGGUGAAAUGCGCAGAUAUCAGGAGGAACACCGGUGGCGAAGGCGGGUCUCUGGGCCGAUACUGACGCUGAGGAGCGAAAGCGUGGGGAGCGAACAGGAUUAGAUAUCCUGGUAGUCCACGCU
This 670-nucleotide ribosomal RNA is filed under the name Amycolatopsis sp. RNAcentral describes it as "bacterial SSU rRNA". It matches the Rfam family "Bacterial small subunit ribosomal RNA", at positions 117 to 801 of the family's 1533-position model. Lineage: Bacteria; Bacillati; Actinomycetota; Actinomycetes; Pseudonocardiales; Pseudonocardiaceae. The record is from RNAcentral.